CCUACGGGAGGCAGCAGUAAGGAAUAUUGGGCAAUGGACGCAAGUCUGACCCAGCCAUGCCGCGUGGAGGAUGAAGGUCCUCUGGAUUGUAAACUUCUUUUAUUUGGGAAGAAACUCUCGAUUUCCAUCGGGAUUGACGGUACCAAGUGAAUAAGCACCGGCUAACUCCGUGCCAGCAGCCGCGGUAAUACGGAGGGUGCAAGCGUUAUCCGGAUUCACUGGGUUUAAAGGGUGCGUAGGUGGGAAGGUAAGUCAGUGGUGAAAUCUCCGGGCUUAACCCGGAAACUGCCAUUGAUACUAUCUUUCUUGAAUACCCUGGAGGUGAGCGGAAUAUGUCAUGUAGCGGUGAAAUGCUUAGAUAUGACAUGGAACACCCAUUGCGAAGGCAGCUCACUACGGGAAUAUUGACACUGAGGCACGAAAGCGUGGGGAUCAAACAGGAUUAGAUACCCUGGUAGUCCACGCCCUAAACGAUGAUCACUCGACAUCAGCGAUACACAGUUGGUGUCUGAGCUAAAGCAUUAAGUGAUCCACCUGGGAAGUACGAUCGCAAGAUUGAAACUCAAAGGAAUUGACGG
This 578-nucleotide ribosomal RNA is filed under the name uncultured bacterium. RNAcentral describes it as "bacterial SSU rRNA". It matches the Rfam family "Bacterial small subunit ribosomal RNA", at positions 338 to 916 of the family's 1533-position model. The record is from RNAcentral.